UCAGAUUCUUAGAGGGAUUUUUUUUGGAGAGAAAGUUUGAAGGACAAAAACUAGGUUUUGGGCUUUCAUCUUUCUUCUUUUGGACUUUUGAUUUUAGUUCAUUGAGAUACAAAAAAACAAUUAGUUCUUCCUAGUUUAAUUUUUGCGUCAGAUUCGGAAAAUACCAAAAAAAAAAUUAGUUUUCUAUUUUGAUCUUCACCCAUGGACUGAUGCGCUAUUGUUCUGGAAGUUCCAGUUGUCGUUCGAGGUCGAGUUCAUCGUUUUGAGGUGAGGCACGCGAUUCCGAUUGAAAGUUCGUUGUUCCUGCUCGCUUGUACUGUUGCUUCUUAGAUGAAUUUUUGGAGCCAAAUUUUGGAAUUGCUGAUCUCUUCUGUUGUUAUUAAAGAAAUUUUGCUUUAACAAGUUCAUUUCUUUCCCUUUAACUUAAUAUGGAUUAUUGUGAAUCAAAUAUUAGGAGAGCCAUUAAAAGACAAGUUAAACUCAGUAGUGAUUUCUAGGAUUUCGUUUAAUUUUUUGAGCCACGUUUAUGUUGUGUUGAUUGUGUUUCCUUUAAAGUUUUAUUCCAUAGUGAAAUUUCAACAUUUAACACGUAUUCAAAUCUUUAGUUUCGUACCACUUUCACAUUGAAUCUACAGUUGGUUGCUUGAGGUGUUAUGUUAAAAUAAAGUAAAGUGUUAUGUGCUCUUCUUUUUCUUUCCGUGCGUAAUGGCAUGAAUAUUUAACGGUCUUCAUAAUUCUCUUAAAAGGGUAUUCAAUAAAUAAUCAUAUGUUUUAGUGAGUUGGUGUACUUAAGAAUCUAUGAUUUAAAUUGAAAGUAUUUGAAGUAUGUGCUAGUUCUUUAUUUUGAGUUGAAUAUAAUUAUACUUAAUUCAUCUUAUAGCUAAAAUAAUGUUCCAAUUAAGUGGGUAAAAUGCCUUGAAUGUGGGAUUUACUAUACAACUUUUAGAUUUUUGCCUUUUGAUGGUUGUUGAGAGUUGUUGAUAUUGUGUUUAAGUGCUUGGGAUACUUCUUUGGCAUAAGUCAUGGUUAAAAGCUUCUUUUGUAAGUAAAUACUUUGUGAAAUUAAAAUGAGGUGAGAGGGUCUUGUUAAUUACAAUUAAUUUUCCAUGCCAUAGUCACGUUACUUCAGUUGGAUGAAAACAUUUUCAGUUAUAUAGGAUUAACAAGUUUACUAGUUAUGCUAGUUGGUUUAUGAUUUAAACAUCAUUAUUCUUACUAGAACUCUCUGUUCAAUCCCAUUGGAGUCUCCGAUGAUAUCAUUUUGGCUAUGUGAAGUUCGAAUCUACUUGUUAGGCAUGUUUUGUGUUCCUUGCUCAUUCCUUCAAUGUGAGUUUACUGUUCGAGGUAUGAAUCACUCUAGUCUAUUGUUGGGACAAUUUGGUAAACAUUUAAAUAAAAGAGGAGUUUAUUGGAUUAAAAUUUAGGAAUUGACAUGACGAGGAUUUGAUAAGGAAUUGAGGUGAUACGAAAUCUUUUAAUGGUUCUCCCAAUAGUUUUGAUUCAUUUAGUUUACUAUUCUGCUAUUUUAUUUGGAUGUCUAUUUAUUUAGUUUCAUUGAAUGGCCUGAAUGUUUAUUUAAUGGGUUAUUUAGUUCUAUGUUUUUUUGUUCGUCGUUUGUAUUCAUCACUGUGAUAUGUCUCUUUGUGGGCUGAGGGGUUUUGGGAAUUAAUCGUUGAAAAGAAAUGGAGCAUGAAAUGAGUUUUUAUUUAUUUAUUUUAGUUUCGUUUUACUUUUCUUACUUACUCGCUAGGAGUAUGCCUAGGCCGACCACACUUGGGAGGCAAUAUUAGGACGUUGUUUUUAAUAUAACUGAGUAUUGGGGAUCUGGAGGGGGAAAAUAAUGCUGGGGUGGAUUAUAUAGAGCUUGGGUAUAGGCUUUAGGGUUGGGGUCGAGGCUGAGUGUACUGGUGAGGGGGACCCCUUGGACCACUCCAUGGUCAAGAGACAACCACAAAAACAUCAUCAUUUUUCUUCUUGGCUAACAAACUUCCUGUGCCAUUCUGGAUUGCAUGUGUGGUUGCUUUUAUAGCGGAGUAGCUCAUGAUCUUGCUUGACUUGAGUCCCUCUUACACCAUUUCUCCCAUCUUCAUCACAUCAUUAAAAGGCUUACCCGUCGCUGAGAUCAAGUGGCCAAAGUAAGUUGGCUCUUGGGCUUGAACAAAGUACUUCACCAUACCGUCUUCUUCCUUCGGAGGAAUGACUCGGGCAACUUGUUCUCUCCAUAUGAGCCUGUAUUCCCUAAAUCUUUCAUUAGGCUUCUUUUCUAUCUUGGUCAGGGACAAAUGAUCAGGAACAAUUUCUGUAUUGUACUGAAAGUGCCGGAAAAAGGCCUUGGCCAUGUCGUCCCUUGUAUACCACCUGAUCAGAUCUUGUCGGGUGUACCAUUCUAGGACUGCUCCACUCAAACUGAAAUAGGCCAUCAAUAGCUCAUCCUUCCCUCUAGCACCUCUCAUCUUAUUGCAAUAACCUCUCAAAUAGGACAAAUGAUCUCCAUCUCCAUCAUACAGAUCAAACUUUGGCAUCUUAAACCCAACAGGCAGCUGGACAUCAGGGAAUAAGCAUAAGUCCUUGUAAGACACACUUACUUGGCUCCCUAUUCCUUGCAUGUUCCUUAGAGACUGCUAUAGUCUCUUCACCUUCUUGGAUAUCUCGUCAUGCUCCACAUUCUAAGCGGGCUUUUCGGUUUCAACGGGAGGCUCAAAGUGGAGAGUUAUAGCAAUAGAGAUCCGGGACCUUGAAAGUUGGGCAUUAGGAACUUUGAACGCAGGUUCACUAGAAGAUUGAUGGAUGGUAGCUUGUGGAGGAGCUACAAAAACAAGAAUGAUUAAUGGAGCGGGAUAUGAGGUUGUUUUGGCUAGUGGGGCAUGAAGAGGUUGGGACGAGGUGUCAGGGUAGUUGUUGUAAGGGGUAAACCCUGGUACAUGUUGUGGGGAAAGAUGGACAGUAGUAGGAAUCUGGGCUUACGAUAGUGGUGGGAUGGAGGCAGGGCUUUCUCUGUACUUAGUGGGGAAUGAGGGUGGAUGAUGCCCUCUGAUCCAAGCCUGAUACAUCUCUGCCAUAUGUUGUUUUAACCUUUGGACCUUUUAUUUCAACUCACAUUCCGAUUCCACAAUCUCCCUCGAUGGGUCAACAACACAUGUGUCCAAUUCUUUACUAGCCAUGACUGCUUUCCGCUUUGACCUAGUUUUGUAUGGAUGACUCGCCAGAAUGCCACAAACUAACCACCUUCCUGAAUAAUAACAAUGACAAUAAUAGAGAGGAGCAAAGCAAAGCCAACAUUAGCGGUAGGGCAUUUAUCAGAUAAAAAUAUCACAUUACGUGGAAUGCACCUAUCAACAAUUAACGGUUCUAGAAUGAACUUGAGGGUCACAAGGUCAUAUGGCAUCAUCCCAAUUUGCUAGUUCCAACCUUCCUCUUUUAUUUUCUCUUUAACGCUUCUUGAUUUAAUCAUUUCCUUCCCACUCUUUUUCUUUUUGCUUAUCAUUCUUUCCUUUCCUUUCAUUUCUCACAUCCCCCAACUUUAUUUUUUUUAAUUUAAAAAUGGAUUUGAUCGAAUCCGAUAUAGGUUACCUACGUAUCAUGUUCCACAUGAAUCAGACCAAGCGUAGUUUUGAAAAAGUGAUGAGCAAAAUAAACUAAAAACAAAAAUCUUUUUGGAUUUUUUAUUUAUAUAUUUUUUGGUUUUCAAAUAAGAAAUAGGAAGCACGAUAACAAAUGACUCAAAAAACUCAGCUAGACUACGAUAGUCUCUGACACCACCUAAAAGACUCAUUACUACUGGGCAAGACUAGAAGUAAAGGACAACAAAAAAUGGACUCAAAAGAUAAAAAGUCUCCUCAAUCAGCUCCUGAAUGUAACGGUCCUAGCUGAGAUGGGCCUGGGACGUCUGUCAUGCUCAAGCUCCGGUAAAUAAAUCUAUACCUGAAUGAGAAGAAUAAGACCAAAUAGAGUUAGUGACUCAGGACACUAUGUGAAAUAAUAACACUUCCAAUUGGAUACAUAUAAGACAUGAUUGAGGCUAUUUUUGCGAAAUGGCAUGAUCGCGUCCAAAUGCACACCUCUAAAAAGCUAUGAAAGGAUCAUUUGCAAUUAUAUUAACCCAACUAAGAGUCGGGGUCGAAUCCAUAGAGAGCUAAGAUGGGAGUUCGGAGUGUAUAUUUUAAUGCGCGUGAUUGAAUUAUCUUGAUUUGCACUUCCACAAAAAGGUUUGUAUGCUAUUUCUAAUUUAACACUAAAGAUUGCAGAAUAAAGAAAUAAAUCUAGGAUAAUUAUUUUGAGGUUUUUCAAUUUGAUAAAAAACCUAGGUAUGUGACCAUUACUUAGGUGUUUACCUAAUGGGAUAAAAACCUUAAUGCUUGUUUUGUUGAUCGGGGUGUAUUAUAGCUAUCAACUCUCAAUUACCCACUCAAUACCUCUCGGUUAGAGAGUGGUUUUGACAAAUUUGGCUUUCUCAAGACCAAAUGGGUAUCACACAAAACAAUUGAUAAAAGCUCAAGUCGGGUUAUUACUAUCUCUAGGUUGAACCCUUUAAUUGGGUUAAUCAAUCUCUCGAUUUACCCAAUUCCUUGUUAGCCAAGUUUUCCUAGGCUAAGUGUAACGACCCGGCCGAAUGUUUUGAGUAUUACAGCCUCGUUCCCCCAUUUACUGCUUAUCCUGUGUUCAAUUAUAAUUAUGUGACUCGUCGGAGAGGGUUCAGAAUGAAUUGGAACACUUAGUUCCAAGAUUUAAAGAUUAAGUUGAAAUAGUUGACCGAAUGUUGACUAUGCGUAAAUGACCACAGAAUAGAGUUUUGAUGAUUCCAAUAACUCCGUAUGAUGAUUUUAGACUUAGGAGCGCGUCCGAAAAAUUAUUUGGAAGUCCGUAGUUAAAUUAGGCUUGAUUUGGCUAAAAUAGAAAUUUAAGUUUGGAAGUUUGACCGGGAGUUGACUUUUUAAUAUCGGGGUCGGCAUCUUAUUCUGAAAUUUUUUAUAGGUCUGUAAUGUCAUUUAUGACUUGCGUGCAAAAUUUGAGGUCAAUCGGACUUGAUUUGGUAGGUUUCGGCAUCGAAUGUAGAAGUUGAAAUUUCUUAGUUUCAUUAAGCUUGGAUUGGGGUAUUAUUCAUGGUUUUAGCAUUGUUUGAUGUGAUUUAAGGUCUCGACUAAGUUCGUAUAAUAUUUUAGGACUUGUUGGUAUAUUUGGUUGAGGUCCCCGGGGCCUCAGGUGAGUUUCAGAUGAUUAACGGAUCAAAUUCGGACUUAAGGAAAUACUAGAAUUUUUUUGUUGCUGGUGUCUUCGCACCUGCGCAUGAGGGACCGCAGGUGCGCCUUGCAGAAGCGUAAAAACAGGUCGCAGAAGCGACCUGGGGAAGGCUGGCUGGGAGGCAUCGCAGAAGUGGCCACACUCGCGCAGAAAUGCGACCGCAGAUGCGGUUUGAAAGUCAUAGAAGCGACCACUGCUAGCCAAAGCUGACUUGCAGAUGCGACUAUGCGACCGCAAAUGCGGAAGACGCUGGGCAGAAGCUUUAAGUUUGGGGCUUCGCUAUUUUUAGCCAUUUUUCUGAUUUUGGAGCUCAGUUUGUGUGACUUUGGAGAGGAAAUUUUCCACUCAACUUGGGGUAAGCAUUCUUGACUCCCUUGUGAUUAUAUUUCAUGAAUUAAUCUUCAUUUUGGGUGUAUGAUUAUCGAAUCUUCAAGAGAAAUCGAAGAAAAUUUCUAUAAUUUCAUAAAAUGAAUUUUUGAGUUUUGAAUACUGAUUCGGAGUCGGAUUUGAGUGAAAUUAGUAUGGUUGAACUCGUAAUUGAAUAGGUUGUCGAAUUUUGUGAGUUUCUACGGAUUCCGAGACGUGGGCCCCAUUGUCAAUUUUUCGAGCAGAGUUAGGAAUUUUUAUAAAUUGUUAAAUUACAAGUAUUGGAGUAUAUUUUGAUUAAUUUGCACAUUUGUUUUGACUAGUUUUGAAUCAUUUGGCGUGGAAUUGAGGAGAUAUGAAGAUGUUCGGAGGUUGAUACGUGCGGAAUGAAAUUUUCGGAGCAUUGUUUAGCUUGCUCGACAUUGGAUUCAUCUUGUUCGAGGUAAGUAACUCUUCUAAACUUGGAGCUGAGGGUAUGGUGUUGAGGUGACGCACAUGCUAGGUGACGGGCUUAUGGGCAUGCACCGUAUGAACUGUGACUCCGUUAUUUCUAUGGUACCGUAUAGUUACCUGAACUUAUCUAUAAUCAUGAAAUCUCUACGUACUAAAGUUAUCGAGUUGUGAUUCAUGUUAGAAUCCAUGUCUAGACUAUAUGCUUAUCCUGUUGGGAUCCACUGAGGUCAUUAUUGUUGUUGAGUUAUUUUCUUACAUUGCAAUUUCAUACUCAGUCAUGUUCAUUCAUUGCAUAUCAUAUCUCAGUCUCUGUUGUUAUUUAUUGAUACAUCAUAUCAUCAUUUUGGGCUAGUUUCAUGACAUUGUGAGCCCGAGAGAAUAGAAAGAUUGAUAACUAAGUGAGGUUGAUGGCCUGAUUUUAAGAUAUUGAUACUAUAGCACAUGAGUUGUCUGUGCAGAUCCAGAUAUUGAUACUAUAGCACGUGAGUUAUCCGUGCAACACGUGAGUUGUCCGUGUGCAUUAUAGCGCUUGGGCUGAAGGAGCCCCUCCGGAGUCUGUACAUACCCCCAGUGAGCGCAGGUACCUACUGAGUGCGAGUGUUGAGUGCUGAGUGCGAGUGCCGAGCGAUUGGGAGGAUUGAGUGACUGUGAGGACUGAGUGACUGGGAGGACUGAGUGAAAUGAUACUUUGAGAGUAUGCAUAUGGUUUUAUUACUAAGUUGUAUCGCAUUGACAUGCACACUUGACAUACAUGCAUACAAAUGCAUUUUUUCUCAUGUUGUACGAUACUGCAUCAUUCAUGACUUCUCCUACAUAUUGAUAUGUAGUUAUAGAGAUGUACUUUCCUCGUGUUAUUUAAAAAUAAAACAAUUACCUGUUGAAAGUUUUGGGAGAAAUUACAGUUUUCAAACUUACUCAUAAAUUGGUGAUUUCGGUAAAGGAUUUGAGUUUUCACUGAUAUAUUUGAAAAGCGGGACAUUUUUCUAGAAUUGUGAAUGAGCUGAGCAUUUUAUCUCUGAGCUACUUCUUUUAUUACUUCUAUUAUGUUAUGAACUAUUGUUGGCUAUUAGUGUUGGACCCUGACCUUUGUUCCAGUUCGUCACUACUUUCAACCUAAGGUUAGGUUUGUUACUUAUUGAGUACAUGUGGUCGGUUGUACUCAUACUACACUUCUGCACCUUGUGUGUAGAUAUUGGAUGUUGAUGCGGCUGUGAUCGACGUGAGCUGGAUUUGAAGAUGUACCUGCGUUCCAUCCAUUGCUGCCUCUUGUUCAUGGUAGCUUUAGAAUUUUUAAUCUGUUCAUGUAUAUUUCAGACAAAUGACGUAUUUUAUUUUUAUUUCAUAUUAGUUUUGUAAAUUCUAAUCUUAGAAGCUCAUGAUUUAU
This 7441-nucleotide long non-coding RNA is filed under the name Nicotiana tabacum (common tobacco). Its description in RNAcentral is "long non-coding RNA (NTAB_LNC007639)". Lineage: Eukaryota; Viridiplantae; Streptophyta; Magnoliopsida; Solanales; Solanaceae. The record is from RNAcentral.